GGCCUCAGGAGAGAGGGACAGAGCCUCUAACAUGCAGGUCAUAAUUUGUGCCUGUCUAUCUGCUUACUUGCUGACCUGUCCAUUCAAAUAAACGGUUGCCCCAUCUGCCUUAUUCCUUGCAUUUGGGUCCAUCCACACUCCGUGAGCCAUACGUAAGACCCUCCUCUGACGUUACACAACACAGAAGCAUCGGCAUCGCAGGGUUGGACAAAGUGGUGGCCGGAUGAAGCUGAAGGCGCAGCCAGCACACUCUUCGUACAUUUCCCGGUCAUGUCAUGGAACGGUGCCCCCGUUCACAGUGGUGGAAUGUGUAAAAGUAGGUGGGGGUAUGCCCCUAAUAGUUGCUUGCAUUCUGCCAUUAAGACAAAUU
Long non-coding RNA from Corythoichthys intestinalis (scribbled pipefish), 370 nucleotides. RefSeq lists it as uncharacterized. The record is from RefSeq and is a predicted model, not a curated record. The transcript has 3 exons. NCBI's taxonomy places the organism in Eukaryota, Metazoa, Chordata, Actinopteri, Syngnathiformes, Syngnathidae.